UCUCUGGUGGCUCAGUGGUAGAGAACCUGCCUGCCAAUGCAGGAGACAGGAGUUCAAUACCUGUCUGGAGAG
Molecule: transfer RNA, 72 nt
Filed under: Ovis aries (sheep)
Lineage: Eukaryota; Metazoa; Chordata; Mammalia; Artiodactyla; Bovidae
Rfam family: tRNA
About the family: Transfer RNA (tRNA) molecules are approximately 80 nucleotides in length.
Source: Rfam by way of RNAcentral